Molecule: non-coding RNA, 24 nt
Filed under: Mus musculus (house mouse)
Lineage: Eukaryota; Metazoa; Chordata; Mammalia; Rodentia; Muridae
Source: RNAcentral
UGAGAGAGGUUUAUCGUGGGGGAA